CCUACGGGAGGCAGCAGUAGGGAAUUUUCGGCAAUGGGGGGAACCCUGACCGAGCAACGCCGCGUGAACGAAGAAGUUAUUAGUAAUGUAAAGUUCUUUUAACAGGGAAGAAAGAGAAAUUUGACGGUACCUGAAGAAUAAGCUCCGGCUAACUACGUGCAAGCAGCCGCGGUAAUCCGUAGGGAGCGAGCGUUAUCCGGAAUUAUUGGGCGUAAAGGGUGCGUAGAUGGCAUAGUAAGUCUGUUGUAAAAAUGGUGGGCUCAACUCAGUAGGGCAAAAGUUACUGAAAAGCUAGAGUAUGAUUGAGGCAAGUGGAACUACAGGUGUAGCGGUAAAAUGCGUAAAUAUAUGUCAGAACACCAGUUGCGAAGGCGGCUUGCUGGGUCGAUACUGACAUUGAGGCACGAAAGCGUGGGGAGCAAACAGGAUUAGAUACCCGAGUAGUC
Molecule: ribosomal RNA, 446 nt
Filed under: uncultured bacterium
Lineage: Bacteria
Description: partial 16S ribosomal RNA
Rfam family: Bacterial small subunit ribosomal RNA
Source: RNAcentral